Panicum hallii is the source of this 949-nucleotide long non-coding RNA. RefSeq lists it as uncharacterized. NCBI's taxonomy places the organism in Eukaryota, Viridiplantae, Streptophyta, Magnoliopsida, Poales, Poaceae. The record is from RefSeq and is a predicted model, not a curated record. The transcript is spliced from 2 exons.
GCUAUGAGCGUCGACGGCGGCUCAUCUGCGUCGGCGUCCCCCUCCAUGGUGACGCGGUGGUGGAGGACCAUCAAUCAGCCAUGGCCGAGUAAGUGCAGCUUCCUAAACGGGUCAGCCCACAAGGAAACAUGGCCCACCAACCCGCUCACCGCUCCAAUUCAAAACCUCCGUCUCUUUUUUUUUCCGCUACAAAAAGGAAAGCAGCAAAUGAGGCAGCCGCCGGCAGCUGUUAACUGCAAUUAGUGUGCGCUAAUCAAAUGCCACGGCCACCCGACCCGACCGUUGUGAACCAUCCCCAUCCAUAUUCCACACCGCCUUGGCCGCACCGCGCCUAGGAUUCUGUCGCAGGUUUAGUUCCUGUUGGAGUUGAUGCGGGGGGUUCUGGAUUGCGCGUCGGGUUUUUGGGUGAUUGGUGCACCGGGAUCGAGAAUCGAAGGGGAGUCCUUGGAUCGUCGGUGGCUCUAGGAUCAAGGAUCCAUGGGACAUGUCCGCGAGACGAAUUUUUGUUCGAGACUGGUUUUGAGGGUUCAGUCGUCGCUGCUGGUUCUGGAGUGAGGGUUGGAUUUGGCGGUUCGGCGUCCUAGGAUCGAGGAUCAAACGAAUAAGGAGAUGAGGGCAAGGGAAGUUCUGGUUCCUGCAGCACAAGGUCGUCAAGAUCCAGAAGCCGUCGUCAAAAGCGGAAUAAAGAGGAACCAGGCAAUUCAAAGCAGCUCAGGAGGUCCAUGUCAUUCUCAUCCCCGGCCAGAAACAGAUGCUUAGACGAACGAUGCUUUAGCUUCUCUUGCGAUGUUCCAUGCUCAUUGUACGAUGAAUCCGAUGCACCUCGGCAUCCCAAAGAUGUCGUAUAAGUGGUUUCCAUUGCCUGAUGAUUACUAUCAGUACUCCCUUAUAAUCUAUAAUGUAUACAAUGAUUGAAAUAAUGGUACUGGCUAUAAACAGGUGGUGCAUA